Molecule: ribosomal RNA, 465 nt
Filed under: Vreelandella stevensii
Lineage: Bacteria; Pseudomonadati; Pseudomonadota; Gammaproteobacteria; Oceanospirillales; Halomonadaceae
Description: partial 16S ribosomal RNA
Rfam family: Bacterial small subunit ribosomal RNA
Source: RNAcentral
CCUACGGGAGGCAGCAGUGGGGAAUAUUGGACAAUGGGGGCAACCCUGAUCCAGCCAUGCCGCGUGUGUGAAGAAGGCCCUCGGGUUGUAAAGCACUUUCAGUGAGGAAGAACGCCUGGUGGUUAAUACCCAUCAGGAAAGACAUCACUCACAGAAGAAGCACCGGCUAACUCCGUGCCAGCAGCCGCGGUAAUACGGAGGGUGCGAGCGUUAAUCGGAAUUACUGGGCAUAAAGCGCGCGUAGGUGGCUUGAUAAGCCGGUUGUGAAAGCCCCGGGCUCAACCUGGGAACGGCAUCCGGAACUGUCAAGCUAGAGUGCAGGAGAGGAAGGUAGAAUUCCCGGUGUAGCGGUGAAAUGCGUAGAGAUCGGGAGGAAUACCAGUGGCGAAGGCGGCCUUCUGGACUGACACUGACACUGAGGUGCGAAAGCGUGGGUAGCAAACAGGAUUAGAUACCCGGGUAGUC